Molecule: ribosomal RNA, 254 nt
Filed under: uncultured bacterium
Lineage: Bacteria
Description: partial 16S ribosomal RNA
Rfam family: Bacterial small subunit ribosomal RNA
Source: RNAcentral
UACGUAGGGAGCGAGCGUUGUCCGGAUUCAUUGGGCGUAAAGAGCUCGUAGGCGGCUUGGUAAGUCGGAUGUGAAACCUCCAGGCUCAACCUGGAGUCGCCAUCCGAUACUGCCAUGGCUAGAGUCCGGAAGAGGAGUGUGGAAUUCCCGGUGUAGCGGUGAAAUGCGCAGAUAUCGGGAAGAACACCCGUGGCGAAGGCGGCACUCUGGGACGGUACUGACGCUGAGACGCGAAAGCGUGGGGAGCGAACAGG